UUACAAAUAUUGAUCUCAGCCGAUGGCCUAAAACACAGAUAUCAGACGAUCUUGAAUCCUGUAAGAAAGUUAGAAACAAACAACCCCCGAAACCCUAAAUUACUGAGAGAAAUAAAAAAGUUUUUGAGAUAAGAUGCGGAUCACAUCCGAUCACCACAAAUCUGGUAAGAAAAACAGAAAAUAGACGGAAAAUAGCACAUAUAGGGGAAAUUAAGGCAGAAAUGUUGAUCGCUUACUGCUCGGCAAAUCUAGAUACACUAAUCUUGUCCAAUUGCACCACAAAUCUUGUGACAAUCACGCAUAUCUCCCCAUAUCCAGAUAGAACGACGCAAAUUUCGCCGAUACACUGCAGAUCUAGAAAGAAAAACGUAGAUCCUAUCUAUUGAUGCAAGAAUAGGCCUAGCGAAAAUCGUAGAUCCAAUAUCUUGAUUCGACCUAUUGAAAAACUAAGCUAUAGCAACAGAAAAAGGAAAUUUGGAGCAGGAAAAAUCUAAAUACCAG
RNAcentral lists this unclassified non-coding RNA (501 nucleotides) under Hevea brasiliensis (rubber tree). Lineage: Eukaryota; Viridiplantae; Streptophyta; Magnoliopsida; Malpighiales; Euphorbiaceae. The record is from RNAcentral.